CCUACGGGAGGCAGCAGUGAGGAAUAUUGGUCAAUGGACGAGAGUCUGAACCAGCCAAGUAGCGUGAAGGAUGACUGCCCUAUGGGUUGUAAACUUCUUUUAUAUGGGAAUAAAAUGUUCCACGUGUGGGAUUUUGUAUGUACCAUAUGAAUACGGAUCGGCUAACUCCGUGCCAGCAGCCGCGGUAAUACGGAGGCUCCGAGCGUUAUCCGGAUUUAUUGGGUUUAAAGGGUGCGUAGGUGGAUUGUUAAGUCAGUUGUGAAAGUUUGCGGCUCAACCGUAAAAUUGCAGUUGAAACUGGCAGUCUUGAGUACAGGAGAGGUAGGCGGAAUGCGUGGUGUAGCGGUGAAAUGCUUAGAUAUCACGAAGAACUCCGAUUGCGAAGGCAGUUCACUGGACUGCAACUGACACUGAGGCUCGAAAGUGUGGGUAUCAAACAGGAUUAGAUACCCCGGUAGUC
This 460-nucleotide ribosomal RNA is filed under the name uncultured bacterium. RNAcentral describes it as "partial 16S ribosomal RNA". It matches the Rfam family "Bacterial small subunit ribosomal RNA", at positions 338 to 795 of the family's 1533-position model. The record is from RNAcentral.